CAGCCGCCACGGUAAUACGAGGGGGGCAAGCGUUGUUCGGAUUUAUUGGGCGUAAAGGGUGCGUAGGCGGUUUGGCAAGUCUUGUGUGAAAUCUUCGGGCUCAACCCGAAGCCUGCACGAGAAACUACCGGGCUUGAGUAUUGGAGAGGUGAGUGGAAUUUCCGGUGUAGCGGUGAAAUGCGUAGAUAUCGGAAGGAACACCUGUGGCGAAAGCGGCUCACUGGACAAUAACUGACGCUGAUGCACGAAAGCUAGGGGAGCAAACAGGAUUAGAUACCCCCGUAGUCCCUGUCUCUUAUAA
Molecule: ribosomal RNA, 301 nt
Filed under: uncultured bacterium
Lineage: Bacteria
Description: partial 16S ribosomal RNA
Rfam family: Bacterial small subunit ribosomal RNA
Source: RNAcentral